CCAGAAGCUACAGAGACGGAGAGAGAGGAAACGAACCAAACAACGCGUUCAUCCAUAACAUUGAUUAGUAUAAUAAACUAGAGGUCGACCGAUUAUGAUUUUUCAACACCGAUACCGAUUAUUGGGGGACCCAAAAAAAGCCGAUACCGAUUAACCGGCCGAUUUCUUUUAUUUUUUUUACAUCUAUUUGUAAUAAUGCCAAUUACAACAAUACUGAAUGAACACUUAUUUUAACUUAAUAUAAUACAUCAAUAAAAUCAAUUUAGCCUCAAAUAAAUAAUGAAACAUGUUCAAUUUGGUUUAAAUAAUGCAAAAACAAAGUGUUGGAGAAGAAAGUAAAAGUGCAAUAUGUGCCAUGUAAGAAAGCUAAUGUUUAAGUGCCUUGCUCAGAACAUGGGAACAUAUGAAAGCUGGUGGUUCCCUUUAACAUGAAUCUUCAAUAUUCCCAGACCCUCCAGAUGUGUAUGUGGAUUACUCGGGCUGAAGCAACAAAACCAGACAUUUGACUUGUCAGUUUGUUGUGGAUCCCCAGCCCCCUGCAGAGGCUUUCCCUUACCAUUUGUGGGCACAGUGAAGGACAAGGUGGCAUUGCCCUGUGUGUUGUUGGCAUGGCAGUGGACGGUCUCUGAGAAGCCUAGUGCCCUCUUUAGGGUCACCAUGGCAACUGACCCAUGCAUCUCCACCCUGGUACUGGGCAGGUGUCCUGCUGGAAGAGACCACUCCACAGUGCUGGGUGGCUCUGAAUCCACAAUGCACAGACAUGUUACCAUAGAGAUGUCUGAAGUGCAGGCGGAGCCCACUUUGAUCUCAGGGGGGU
Molecule: long non-coding RNA, 817 nt
Filed under: Salmo salar (Atlantic salmon)
Lineage: Eukaryota; Metazoa; Chordata; Actinopteri; Salmoniformes; Salmonidae
Description: lncRNA (ENSSSAG00000099985.1)
Source: RNAcentral